GUUGUGUUUCAUGAAAAUCUGAGCCAUAUUAAAAAAAACAGUAUAGAGGUAAACAGAUACCAGUAUUUGUGUUAAAAUCCUAUUAAGGACUGCAGUGUCUUGCUUCUAGAAUUCUGUGUAUCCUGCUUCUAGAAUUCUGUGUAAUUUGGUUCAUUGCUUAAAAAUAAUUGGGUAUUUCAGAUUAGAAUCAGGGAUUCUCAGUACCCACCAGUCCUGAAUUUAAGGUCACUGUGACAGUAACAUGACACUAUAUAAGAAACCAGCUGAAGGCUUUAUAUUUAUCAUACUUGAGCUUAUAACUGAUCAGGUGAUCUGGCUCUAAGAUAACUAGCUGUCUUUAACUGAAUUUCACAUGAUCAGUUUUGCUUGGUUUAGACUAUUCCCCAGAAGAUUAUUAAUGAUUUGAAAUAUUACCUAAUAUUUGUAUAUCAGUUUUUGUGUUGCUUUACAUUUAAGUCUGCAAAGCAGGUCAAAGUAGUGAUCAGGCUUCUUAAAAUUUACCCAGAGAUUCUGUCUAGGGCAGCGUAUUUCAGUCUAUAAAUGUACAGUGUAGUAGCCUUGAAGAAAGAAGUUUGAGUAACUAUUCCAGGAGCUGAAUGCUUGUAUCAGUUCUCAGUAUGUAAUUUAUGUGAUCUCGUUUACCAAUAGGUAUUUGGGGGAAAUGUUUAAUAAAUAGCAAACCCAAAUUGAAACUUCAUCAUGACAUGUGGUAUUGAAAAUUAACUUUAGUCUUAUUUUUAUUAAAGUUAUAUGAUGUUUUUUUGCCUUAAAAAAACUGCAAAAUAUACAACUGCUUUCUCCGUAGUAUGGGCUUUCAGUAUUAAAGUAGGAAUGACCAAAAAUUCCCCAUACUGGAAUUUGUCUUUGGGAAAUAUUAUAAAAGUAAUUAACUUUUCUUUUUCUUUUCAGAAAGUACAGUAACAUCUUGAUCAACCUGUUAAUAAGGAAGGGAUAUAAUUAAGUAGAUUCAUCUCAUACAUUAUCAACCAAAUCUAGGUAAUUAGCUAGAAGUCAACUGUUUGUUGAAAAGAUUGAGUCUAGUCUGUCCCUUACGUUGAUAAUUGAUGUGUUUUCCAUUCAUUUUACAACCACUGAAUGUUUUAUGUUUCAGAAGUUAGAAAUACAAUAUAGUAAGUCAUCAUUAUCCUCAGAGAAUUUAGAGAGGAUUCCAAGAGGCAGUAAUAAAUUUAUAAAUGGUGAUGGUGGUGUUCAGUCGCCAAGUCAUGUCCGACUCUUUGCAACCCCAUGGACUGCAGCACACCAGGCUCUUCUGUCCUCUACUAUCUCCCGGAGUUUGCUCAGAUUCAUGUCUGUUGAGUCGGUGAUGCUGUCCAACCGCCUCAUCCUCUGUCACCUCCUUCUCCUGUUGCCUUCAGUCUUUCCCACCAUCAGGGUCUUUUCCAGUGAGUUGGCUGUUUGCCUCAAGUCGCCAAAGUAUUUGGAACUUCAGCAUCAGACCCUCCAGUGAAUACUCAGGGUUGAUUUUACUAUUUACAAAUAGUAAUAAUCAAACCAAAUCUUCCAGAAAAAACCCCUUUGAAAGUUUGAAAGGUAUUCUUUCCUGGUAACACAAUACUCAGCUUAUAAUUGGAAUACAUGAACAAUGUGUAUAAUUUAGAUUUCUCCUAGAGAGAAAAGCUUGUAAAAUGUAUAUAUCAUGAAUUUUUUAAACUAAAAUUAAGUUUAGUAUCCACUGGGUAUGGUCAGAGUAACUGGAUUUUAAGAAUUUUCAUCAUACAGUUCAAACUUUAAAACAUAAAGAUGGAGUGACCGUAUGAAUCUGACAGAACAAAUGUGAAGGUAGGUCUCCUUAUAUUUUUAUUUCUUUUUCCCCUUACUGACAACUAAGCCUUUAGGUGAGAAAUUCCUGGUCAAGGUUGAAAUAAUGAGCAGUUCUUUGAAAUAUUUCUUACUCCCUGAAGAUAGACAUACACAUGUUGCUUUGUUCAAAUGGGAUGGAUUUAUUGAAAAUAACUUUUCUCCGUUGCCUGUAACUCAUAAGACCCUUCAUGAGGUUCAGCUGUUUCAAACUCCGUUAUAUCUUAACAAAACUGCUUAAUUUAGUGUCUGAUAAUACACUCUUACUAUCUCUCUUUUUCCCCUAUAAACAUUUUCUUUUUUUAAGUUCCAAGACCUAUAAUUGCUAGCCAGAACUUUUUAGUAAGAGAGAACUGAGGUUAACACAUAGAACUGGUUGUAAUUUUGGUCAGAGGCAAACCUGACAGAAAAGCUAACAUUGACUAUUUCCAACUGGCUGUCACUGUCUUAAAUUUAAACUUAUUAACCCUGUAAGGGGCUUCCCUGAUGGCUCUAUGGUAAAGAAUCCACUUGACAAUGCAGGAGAGGUGGAUUCGAUUCCUGGAUUGGAAAGAUCUCCUGGAGAAGGAAAUGACAACCCACUCCAGUAUCUUUGCCUGGUGGGCUACAAUCCAUGGGGUCACAGAAGAGUUGGACAUAACUUAGCGACUAAACAAAAUCAAAUUAACCCUGUAAAGUAAGUAUAAAUGUGAAUUUUGGUCCAAGGCUACCUCCUGACAAGAAGUGACCAGUCUCAAGUUGAACCCAGGUCGGUCUGGUACCAGAGCUCACAUUUUAACCACCUCUGUGUGUGUAUUGCUUCCUGGCUUUUACUCACUAUAUGCAAUCUUUAUACAAUUAUGUACCCAUUAAUUGUAAUUGGGCUUCUUUGAAAUGUUGAAUAAUAGGGAGUGUUAGUUUUCCCAGCUCAGAACUAUGGGUGGGGUGGAAGACUAUUUUCAUAGAAAUAGCAGUGUAAGAAUUACUUUGGGUUGUGAUAGUAAGAUUAAUGAUAGCCUUGGAAUAACUGAGAAGCUUCUCUUUUGUAAAUAUUGCUGUUAGUGUAGCCUUCAUCAAUUGAACCUUCUUAAACCUAUUUACAAUUAACUUUUUUUUUUUUUUGUACUUGUGGUUUUGUCACAAGUUUACUAAACAUUUUGUGAUAGGAGAUUUCUUUUUACCAGUUUUAAAACAUUUCCUAGUGAAUGUUUUAGGAUUUAAGUUACUUUGAAUAAAAUGGAGCCAGACUGUGGUAUUUUAUCUGUAAUCACUGUGAUUUUACAUGGAACUCAAUUUUAUCAUCUUAACUUUCUUUCCAGAUUGGAGUUCUUACUCUUUGAAGGUAAAAGCCACUUUAUUUUUGUGAACACUUCUUAACUGCCCUGUUUUGUACCUUCCCUGGCUUUCUUUUAUGUCUUUGAAGUGGCUGCUGGAAGGUCAUGAAGUAUGCUGGGUGCAUAUAUAACCAUGGCUUUGUGUACUAUUGAUUAUCCUUUUUCCCUAACAUCAUUCUGAUUACCUGCAGUUGUUAUUUUUCUGUUUGUGUGUGUGUGUUUUAGACAAACAUUGUUUCCCUUUUACUUUGUAACUCGUGAUUUGCCUAGGCUAGGUGAUAGAUUAAAGAUAGAGGAACCAGAAUUUACUGACUUAUUGUUUCCCACAUACCUUGAUUCCUGGAGAAAGAAGCCUGUGUGUAGCAUGCAUAAGCAAAGCUGAAUGGCAUUCUGAUUGCCUGUUAACUUUGGAGAAAUAGGUUCACUGAUAGUAACAGCCCAUGUAUGUAUAUAUGGCUGGUGAAUAAACAGUUCUGCAGUAUCAGAGCUGGGACUUAGGACGUGGAAGGUAUUAAUCAAAGUCACCGUGGCUCUAGUUGUUGUUAGCACCAAGACCAAGUUCAGAAUUCCAAAUAGACAUCUGACAAACCAGAGUGCCCACAGUUGCUUUGGGGUUCCAUCCAGCUGUGUUCUGCCUACAAGAUUCAUAAUUAUAGAUCAUUUUAAUUGCUGCUCAGUCAAAACCAGUGUUGCUAAUGACAGCAAUGAUCUAAAGGCCAUUUCAGUUGCCCUUUUCUCCUCAUAUCAUUAUUCUUGAUCAUCUUGUUACUUUUGACACAAUUUGAGAAACUUUCAAAACUUUUCUGUCUUUCUCUGGCUCUGAUCCACUAUGCGUGUUAUUUCCUUGUUCCUUGUAAUGCCCUCUUCCUUUGUCUUUUGUCCCUUUUUAGGGACUUUAACCACUGUUAGCGCCACUGGAUUUUAUAUCUCUAAUUCCACUCGCAGCCUCUAAUCUCAUAUGUGUCUCCAGAUCACAUGAAACUUGAUAAUGCUGAAACAGUUGUCAGUCAUUUAACAAACAUCUAGUGAGUACAUGUGUUCCUGGCACUCAGCUGGCGCUGGGGAUAACAAGAGGCAGCAUCUGGCAAAGGGAACAAAACCUUACAUAGUGAGUGAGAGUUGCUCAGUCAUGUCCAACUCUCUGCCACCCCAUGGACUAUAAAGCCUGCCAGGCUCCUCUGUCCAUGGAAUUCUCCAGGCAAGAACAAUAGGGGGGUUGCCGUUUCCUUCUUACAUAACCAUAAAAGAAUUACGUGUUUGGGGAGCACAUUUUGAUCUUCCGGGUUGCAAUCUUAAUAGUUGUUCUGUUGGAUUUUCUGUUGAUUAGGUCAUACUGAUUCUUCUAUGAGGUCUUCUACUUACUUUCUCUAUUAGCCUAGGAUUGUAGUUCUUAAUCUUGCAGGAUUAAAUGUAGAAAAAGACAUUUAUCAGACUAGCCAUGAGAACUAAUGAUUGUACUUGACUAUGUUAAUUGAUUGGAAAUUUUGUGUUAAAAGAUUGUGGGAAUUCAGCAAUACUUUUUAAGUGAAUUAUUUAAUUAAUAACAAUAGCAUUUACACUCAGAUUUAGACUAUACUUUUAUUAGAGAGCCACCUUUAUGCUAAAUAAUGUUCUAAAGAAUAAAAGUAUGCAGUGGGCACAAGGCAGUCUUCUCCCAUUAUGGAGCUAAUCUCUUAAGGGAGGAAAUUCACAUUUGGUUGGCUUGAUGCACCCCUAAAUCUAAGACUCGCAGGUUGGGAGGCAUUGCUGUGUGUCUAAGUCUGUUUCUCAUUUGUUAGAACUCUCUUCCUAAUUUUCCUACUUCAUGUCUCUCACUACUCUGUCCUAUACAUUUGCCAUAAUAAUUACCACACAGAUACCCACAUUCCCAUUACAUCAUGGUGUCAAAUCUAAAUUCUUGAAAUUCUGAGACCUUUUAUGUGCUUCCCAAGCAUCUUAAUCUUUCCUUUCAAACCUUUUAUUCCUUUCCCGUUCUGACACUGAUUGUGCUCAAGCCUUACACUGCCUUUGUCCAUCUUGCUCUAAUUCACUACUACUUAGCAAUUACUUUGGAGAUUAUUCCAUUUUCUAAAGAGACAUGGAUUGGAAUGUGAUAUAUCAUUCAUGAAAAUAACAGGGAUAUAUGGUUGAACUAUGAAGGUUGCCAUAUAUAAUGAUUUAUAGAUUUCAACCAGUGGCCCACUUCAAGGAAUACUUGGAGUCACUUAAGUGGCAAUUUGACAGCGAAGUUGUACUGAAACUUACUAUCUAGAUGCAGUGGGUAACAAUCUGUAAGUAGAAAAUGCGGAAGGCUUAGAUUUAGUCAUAUGGAUUUAGGAGUUUGCAUCAGGUUUUGAGGCUGAACCAAGUGACUCAAAGGGAAUUUAAAAUUCUCUGCUCUUGACUAUUAAAGAGCAAUCUUUUGCUUUAAAGUUUUCAGAAUUCCACUUCUUGAAAGUACACAGACAACCAGUAGAAAAACAGCCUAGUUGGCCAGUCUCAGCCUAAAAGUUGAACAGGUGGAUGCAUAGAUUUUUCACAUACUCUUGUAUUUUCUGAAAACAAAGAUACUAUUGUAUUAUUGCAGUACGUGUCCAUAUUGCAAUAGUCAUCCAUACUUGUGAGACUGUCUAAAUCUGCACUUCAAUCAUGGUGAUAGCCUCCGUUAGACCAAGUUUGUCAGACCUGCAUCCUACGUUGGAUGCUCUGUCUCUUCUGGGGAAACUAAAGUACAAAAAGACUUCUUGAUAUUUUGAAUUUUUGACCUGAUAUCCAACACCUCUCAUACUGGUCAAGCAGUAGCUCCUAUUCAUUGAGUUCCUACUGUGCACCAGUUACAUGCAGCUAGGUACUUUAUAUCAUCUUUAACAUUCACAGGAGCCUCUGUGUUAGGCACUAGUAUCCCUGUUUCCAGUGGGAGAACUCAGGCCCAGAGAGAUUGAAUGACAUAGCCAGGGUUGUACAGCUAGUUUGUAAUAAAGCAAGUAUUAGUGCUGAAAACGUAUUUUCACUUUUAUCUUUCUGUAGAAAUUUAUUUUGCUUUUUAGAGUGAGAGACGAAGCAUUUUCUUCAGGUUAGAUUUAUUGUGGGGAGUUGUGAAUUACAAGCUAAAAACAGAUGGUAUUCUACAAUGUAAGGUUUAAAUUUGUGAAAUUUUUAUUUGCUGUUGUAUGCUUCUGUUUCCCUGUCCUUAGCAUCAUUGAAUAUUUUCUACAUUUUGUGAUUGAUACAUGUUUGCUUCUUUAUAUACAAAAUCUUUAAUUUUGUAGAGGAAUGGGAUAAAAGAGAUUAAGUUGGUUUUGUACUUCCAAGUAGAGUCUGACCAUUUUGAUUAUCCCCACAGCAAACCUGAAAAGUCAGUUCACCACAUUUAACAUAUACAUAACACUGUGUGUGUAUAAAUAUAUAUCGUAUACUGCCUUCCAUCUCCUAUUAUUAAGAGUAAUAAUUGAUGCCAGGCAGGAAGAGUGCUACCUCAUAUUUGGAUCAGCUACUUCUACAUAAAGAACAUUUGAAAAAGUUUGCCUGAAGCUGUUCUGAAAGUUAAGUACCAUUAAAUACAUUGGCAAAGUCUGGCUCAAAUUCCAGCCUUUCACAGAGCGCAUCAGGGAGAUCCUUGCUUUUUGCCUUGCAAAAAUCAAAAAUAAUAGCCAUUGAGGAAGUAAAAUUUAAGUAAACAUGUACUCUGUUUAAUGCCACUGGCUGGUGUUUGUUAAGUGCUUCCCGUGUGUCAGCUGCUAUUGAAAGUGCUCUUCAGCCGUUCUCAGCCGUUCUCUUAAUCUACGCAGCUUCGCGUCUACAGAUGAGGAAAUGGAGAGGCAGGAACAUUUGUAGUGGAGUCGUGAUUCAUUCAAAUACUAAAGAUCUGGUCUGUUCAGAAAUAGAGUCGUGGAUCUCACUAAACUAGAAGAGAAAAAAAUAGAGCUCCAGAGUAAAGUAGAGAAAGGUUUUUAAUUUUUGGUGGUUUCGCUCUCCCUUUCCUCCCUGCAGCAUACCCCUACCACAUGUUCCGUGUAGAUUCCCCCCUCACACACACGCAUUUAAGUUGUGCUGUUUUUCCCCCUUUUCAAAAUAUUUCAACAUCCUCAGGAGCAGUAAUUGGAAGUUUAUUCGUAAGUGUAGAAAUUGUAUCAGAGGCUUCAAAAUAAUUGUAUUUUAUUGACCUAUGUUUUGUCUUGAAAUUUUUCAUUUUGAACUGUUAUUCAGGGGGAGGGCUGUUAAAGUGUUUUCUCUGCCUGUUUACGAUACAUUUUAGAUCUCUCACAUUUUUUUCUCUGGAUAUUUAUCAGGAGGUGGUGUAGAGGUUUGGUAAGUAAUGCAGUUUGAUUUUGUAUGUCUCAAGGGUUUCUCAUUAAGUUACAUAUUUGAGUUUUCUUUAUUCUGACCUUUUUUCCCCUGGUGCUUCUAUUUGCAAUAUUGACUGAAAAUCCUUACGUAAUGCUAAUUUUGAUCUUUUUUUUCACUAGCAUGUUUUGGAGCCCUCAGACUUGAAGAAGGACAUAGGUAAAGAGUAUAAUAUGAAACAUUUUCUGACAUUAGGGUUAUGAAGUCCUUUCCUUUAGUUGCCUACUUGCUGUCUUCAGUCUGAAAAUUAAAACAAUUUAAGUGGUUUGGUUUUGCCCAAUUACGGAUAUUUCAGUUCUCUUAUAUUUAUAAAUGUAACAUCAAUCCUUCACAUUGUAAAAAAGGUGGUUUCAUAUUAGAUUAGGAAGUACUUAGAACUUUAAAAUAUUUCCCCUGUGUAAAAUUUUAUGCAGUACUUGAGUUACUUAAUUGUAAAGUGGAUAACAAAUAUUAAUCUAAAACACAUUUUAGAUUUAUCAGAAUCAGGCUCUACUGCUGCUGUGUCUGAAAUGCUUUCCAACUUCCCCAGAGCCGUCACUGAAUAUAAACUCCAUAUUGUGUCUCUCAUGUAUCUGACCCAUCCUGCAUGUUUUUAUCAAGUUCUUUUCUGUGACUGGACGUGUUAGAAGACAGAGCCUAGGAAGUGCCAUAUUCCUUUGUCUGCUCAUGAAGUUGUUUUAAAACAUUCUUUAAUUUAGAAACAUAAAUGCCACACUUUUAAAAAUUUUAGUGACACCAAAAAAUUGAAUACAUUUUCCUGUCAAACAAAUGUUCUUUGAAAACUAAAUGUCUGCAUUAUCUCUUUUUUUACUUGAAGCUACUUGAUGUUUGCUUAAACUCCAUUUACUUGGAGUAGAACUUUGUAGUGAAUGAAAAUGACUAGGUUCUUCUGCCAAGUAAGUUGAGAACAUGAGUUUCUGUGUGUGGAUAAUAUAUAUUCUCUCUUUUCCUAUUUCGUUUUGAUAAUCCUAUCUCUGAGAACAAGCUCUGAUGUCAGUCUUUUAAAAAGAUACGGCAAAAAAUCUUUUUUUUUUUGGCCAUGCCAUGCAGCUUCCAGGGUCUCAGUUCCCCAACCAGGGAUUGAACCCAGAUUAUGGCAGUGAAAACCCAGAAUCUUAACCACUAGGCUACCAGGGAACUCCCAAGAUUACUUUUUUUUUGGUAAGACUUCACCGUCAUCUAUAAAAUAGCACAGUUUAACUGCUUCCUCAGUUUAAAAUUCCAUAGACUAUAACAGUGUCUACAUCAUAGAGAUGAUUUCUUCUUAUCCAAAAAUAUAUUUUUCUUUAAAUUCCACAGUUUAUAUCUUUUUUAUAGUAACCUAAUUUAGCAAGAUCAAAUUGAGAAUUUCACCCAGGGUAUCAGGUAGAACCAUUAGACUGUUGGAGAAUUUACUUGGAAAAAGAAAAACUGGAGGGAAAGAGAAGGUGCUGGUUGAUAGCAAUCAGAAAUAAAGAUUGUGAAGCAUCUUUGGAAUUAGUUUGUUAUAUGUAGGAAAUUCAUCUGGUAUAUAAAAAUAAGUGUGGCUCUUGACAUUUGCAAAUGUUACUUCACGGUCAUUGGCAAAAGUUCACUCAAAUCCAGGUUUUCUCUAAGAGAAACAUGGAGUCAGAGUCCCCACACUUACGAGUAAAGCAUGCAUUCACUUUGUCCCUGACAGUCUGCCAGUGACCAUGGUUUCUGAGGUUCAUUGUUGGAACCAGAGACAAGAAGAAAGGGGAGAGGGUGCUAAUCAGAUCAGUUGCGGCCUUUUAAAUUUGACCCUUUGGGUAAUGUACAUGGAAAGUAGUAUUUACUCUUUGAGUAGUAGUAGCAAAAGUGUCAGAGAGGGCAAUGGCACCCCACUCCCGUACUCUUCCCUGGAAAAUCCCAUGGACAGAGGAGCCUGGAAGGCUGCAGUCCAUGGUGUCGCUGAGGGUCGGACACGACUGAGCGACUUCACUUUCACUUUUCACUUUCAGGCAUUGGAGAAGGAAAUGGUAACCCACUCCAGUGUUCUUGCUUGGAGAAUCCCAGGGACGGGGGAGCCUGGUGGGCUGCCGUCUAUGGGGUCACACAGAGUCGGACACGACUGAAGUGACUUGGCAGCAACAAAAGUGUUAGUCGCUCAGUUGUGUCCGACUCUGAGACCCCAUGGACUGUAACCUGCCAGGCUCCUCUGUCCAUGGAAUUCUCAAGGCAAGAAUACUGGAGUGGGUAGCCGUUCCCUUCUCCAGGGGAUCUUCCCAACCCAGGGAUCACACCCAGGUCUCCUGCAUUGCAGGUGAAUUCUUUUCCAUCUGAGCUACCAGGGAAGUUCUGCCUUUAGUUUCAACACCGAUUUUUUUUUCCCUGAAAUUUCCAGGAGCUUAGUUUGAUAUCUUUUUCAAAGGGUAGAGGAUUGGGUGGGCAAAGCCCACAAAUGUUGGGAGAAGAGAAUUAUGCAGGGAAAUGUUUUCUUGAAAAUAGAAAGCUGCAGGAAAUGGAGUAGGGUCAGCAUCAGGAAGGCAGGAGAUACUAAGUAAUCUGUGGUCUGAUUUGCUUCCAGUGUGGUUUACUCACAGCUAACAUGAAAUGAGUAUUUCAUUCCUCAAGUAUGCACUUGGGGAAAAAUAGGAAGCCAGGCUGGAGACACAGGUUUGCAGCAGAUGCUCUGUAUCCAGGUCGUAAUGGCUUUGAUGGCAUUCAGUCCAAGAGCAACAGCAUCUGCAAAGGAAAAAUCUGUAAAUAUUCCCGAAUCUGAUCACCUUCACCAUCAUCAGCCAAUGGAUUGGAUGAGACUUCUUGAAGGGCCCUUUGAUGACUUUUGAUUAUUGGGGAAUUUUAUAUAAAAAUUGAAAUUCCGUUCAAGAACUCUUUUUCUGGCUUCCUUUUUUUUUGUUUGCUGCCCUGGGGUGUAGCUGGAGCACUCUUGGUUGCCUCACAGCUUGUGAGGUCCUGUUCCCGGACCAGGGAUCAGACCUGCACCCCCUACACUGGAAGGUGGACACUUAACUGCUGGGCCACCAGGGAAGUUCCCUGGUAUCUUACUCCCUUGGUAUUAUUUCACAUUUCACAACUAAAGUAAUCACACCUUGUUAUCUUUUAAAAUGAAUUUCCUGAGCUAAGACGACAGGAGUCUGCAUUUUGUGGACGUCGUUUGCACUUGACCCUUUGUUCACUGUUUCAUCCAGGGUGUCCUGGAUGGGGAGAGCGUUCCGCGUCACAGCUGGCGACCAGUGCUAGCCAGGCCUAGUCUGCAGGUUCAGUUUUACCCUUGGCUUUGUCCCUGGCUGGAGAACCAAGUUGGAACUAAGUGAAAGUGUUGGGAAAAGCAUGAUUCAAAAUAUAAUGAAUCAAGGGUAUCGUUUUUGAAAGGUUAUUGAGCCCACCUCACUUAGGGACACUGGAUAUUUGGUUUAAAUAAAAUAAGAAUGUUACUUAUUUUAUGUGUUUGAAAUUACUAAAGAACCUUGUAAGCUCUUAAAAGUGUAGCUGGAUUUGGUGUAGGCCAGAAAAAUAUGGCUAUUAUCAUUAGGGUAUGACUCAUGGGAUUCUUGAUUAUUUACACUAUUAUGGACACAAAUGUAUGUGGGUUCGAUAGCCAGUAUCCUUAGUAUUUACUUCAAAUGAGUGAUGAAAAUACCUGUGAAAACUUGGUGCGGGGACCUCCAUUUUUUAUGUCCAGUGGUCGCCUUAUAACCAGGCAUGAAGAGAAACAAAAUAAUUAACUCUUUAUAUCUUGAGGUUUAUUCUCUUCAGCUGGUCUAAUGGAAUGGGUAUAAUGAUAAUCAUUUCUCAGUUUAUCCCUACCCUUUCUCUUUUUAAAUCUGUCAGUAAAGCUGUGGUUAAGUAUGUUAUGUUAGAGGAUUUAAAAUACAAACAGAAGUACUGACUUAAAAGGUAAGAUUUACCUUGAAAAUUCAUAAAGUAAGAUGAGUAAUCAGCUUCAAGAUAUUAAUACAGACCUUGAAACUUAAUAAUUGCUGGCUGGUACAAGAACAAAAUACUAUAAUACAAACUAGAAUGUCUUCAAGAACAGAAGUCUGCUCUUGCCAGCUCAUGGCUCUUAGGUUAACAAAUCUAAUCCAGGAUGCAUCUUAACCCUGCAGCAAAUAGUAUUUUAUUUUUGCCUUAUUUCCAGAGACCAGCUUAACACAAGUGCUCUACACUAUUGCCUGGCUUUGAGCAGUGUUCUGCUUUGAAAAGAAAGUUAUACGUAUAUUUUAUCUUCCCUUUGAAUACUACUUCUUUACUGCAAACUAAGAAGCAUUGAACCCAGUAUUCACACAGCUUGCUCUGUUCUAUAAAAUUUCUCGGCUCUCUUCAGAUCGUUCUAAAUGGUGAUUCCUUUUCUUUUUCUUAAACUCAACUUUGCUUUUUCUUCAUUAAGUUAAGGGUAGGUAACAUGAGUCCCUCUUGCCCUUUGCUAUUAGAAUCUGGCAUCAGGAGCAACUGUUGCUGUUUCUGGUUUUCGUCCAAAACUUCCCUUUCUGGGAUGGAAGUCAUAUUGAUUCCAGGGUGUGUUAUUUAGUUGAGCAGUAUCAGUAAAUUCACUGACUCACCUUCCUGUUCAAUGAAUACCUAACCAUGUUAUGUUAUAUUCGUGUCUGGAAUGCCAGUCCUAAAACAGAUUGAGGGGAGGAAAGAGGGUACUUAGACCAUACUUUGAAUAAAAGACAUUUUGAGGGUUGUCCCCCCCACCCUUAAAAACAAAAGCCAGCUACUUAGUACCGGAUGUUUUCAUUGUACUUUUUGAAAAAUUGCUUUGGUCAUUGUGUUCAUUAUUCCUGAAAUAGUAUUCUGUCCUAGUCCCUAAAGAUAGUUUUAUGUGCUAACUUUUGUUUUACCUUUCUAGCUACUAAAGUAGAUAAUGGUUAUUACACACGGCACGUUUUUAAAUGGUCUCCAGUGUGGACUGUUCAGCCAGUGAUGGAGUGAGUACAUUGAGGAAGAAGGUGUCAUUUGGAAUCCAGAACCAUUCCACAAGGAUGACUACCUGAUACAUGGUCAGAAUGCUCAAACUGAUGGCAUACCGAUGGCUUUCUCUUCCAGUCCCCUAAAAAAGUGUUGUCAGCCUGAGUUCCCCUGAUCUACCUACUCUCAUUUCCAUUCCCAAAGUCGUGACCUGAUUCUCUCACUUGGCUAUCACAGGGAGUUGAGGUGUCAGUAUGUGAGUACAACAAACCUAUUCAAUGAUGCAUAGGAAGCAAAGAAAAAUAGUUUUGUUUGCUGACUACUUAAAGUAUAGAAUGUUUUGGUUUUCAGUUGAUUUUGCAAAGCAGUAAAGACAUUUCUUGGUUGUUAAUUCCACAUGUAUUUUUUCCUCCUCUCUUACUAAGUGAAUUUCAAUGCUAAUUUCCUAAGAAAGCAAUUGAAUAAGUCUUAAUUUAAAGCUUGUACUAAUGAUAAUCAUAUAAGGUUCACUUCCUACCCCUGCCCCCCGCCCCCAACUUUUAAGUGAUAACGUAAGUAAAAUACCCAUUUCAAAUUUGUCUGGCAAAUGAGAGAAUCAGUAGUUUGCCAGUAUUUUUCAUUACUUUUCUUAGAAUUGUUUUUCCUUUACACAUUUAUAGUGCAAAAUAGCUCAGUGGUGCAGACUCAUACUAAGCUGAUCAACUUGCAUUUUGGUCUUCAUGGGAUUUACACAUUUUUUCACUCAACAUUUAUUAAAGGAACAAACAACAUUUUGGGCUAUACCAAACAUACCUUUAGCUUGACUAAGGGCUGAAUUUCAUAAAGGAACAAAAUAUAGAAUUCAUUUUCACAUACUUUAAAGUGUGACUCAUCCCUGUUGAACUUGUGAGACUCAAAGCUACGCCCAUGUCACUUAAUUUUAUGUCCUUCCCUGUUUACUGUGUCUGACCUUCAAGAUUUCGUGACUGAUGCUGAAAUGGAAGCCAGCCAUGCAGAAAUGUGGGGGAAAAUGAAUCUGAAGAAUGCACGGGGAAGUAGGAAUUCAUUUCUAGCGUUCCCAAACCUGCUUUGUCACGUCAGCUUCACUGCAGUCAGAGGAAAAGAACUGAGUUCAUGGAGAUUACCAACUAAACCUUACGUCUGUCCUUAAUGUUUUUAGGAAAUGUGCUGAAAAGGACAUUUUUCGUCAUGCCAAGAAAGAAGCCGUAUGUCCAUUCACAAUUACUCCCAUUCAUCACCUCCACCCAGGUUCCACCCUGAAAUCUCCAGCAGCCACUAAUCUACUUUCUGUCUCUAUGGAC
This is a long non-coding RNA of Bos taurus (domestic cattle), 13630 nucleotides long. NCBI's taxonomy places the organism in Eukaryota, Metazoa, Chordata, Mammalia, Artiodactyla, Bovidae. The record is from Ensembl.